GACGAACGCUGGCGGCGUGCUUAACACAUGCAAGUCGAACGGAGGAUUUAUUUCGGUAAAUCCUUAGUGGCGAACGGGUGAGUAACGCGUGGGCAAUCUGCCCUUCAGAUGGGGACAACAUCCCGAAAGGGGUGCUAAUACCGAAUACGAUCACGCUGCCGCAUGGCGGUGUGAUGAAAGAUGGCCUCUAUUUAUAAGCUAUCGCUGAAGGAUGAGCCUGCGUCUGAUUAGCUAGUUGGUGGGGUAACGGCCUACCAAGGCGAUGAUCAGUAGCCGGUCUGAGAGGAUGAACGGCCACAUUGGGGACUGAGACACGGCCCAAAACUCCUACGGGAGGCAGCAGUGGGGAAUAUUCCGCAAUGGACGAAAGUCUGACGGAGCAACGCCGCGUGAGUGAUGAAGGUUUUCGGACUGUAAAGCUCUGUUGUUUAGGACGAAAGUGCCUGUUGCGAACAGUUACAGGUAUUGACGGUACUGGAACGAGGAAGCCGACGGCUAACUACG
Molecule: ribosomal RNA, 504 nt
Filed under: uncultured bacterium
Lineage: Bacteria
Description: bacterial SSU rRNA
Rfam family: Bacterial small subunit ribosomal RNA
Source: RNAcentral